Molecule: transfer RNA, 70 nt
Filed under: Dipodomys ordii (Ord's kangaroo rat)
Lineage: Eukaryota; Metazoa; Chordata; Mammalia; Rodentia; Heteromyidae
Rfam family: tRNA
About the family: Transfer RNA (tRNA) molecules are approximately 80 nucleotides in length. Their secondary structure includes four short double-helical elements and three loops (D, anti-codon, and T loops). Further hydrogen bonds mediate the characteristic L-shaped molecular structure. tRNAs have two regions of fundamental functional importance: the anti-codon, which is responsible for specific mRNA codon recognition, and the 3' end, to which the tRNAs corresponding amino acid is attached (by aminoacyl-tRNA synthetases). tRNAs cope with the degeneracy of the genetic code in two manners: having more than one tRNA (with a specific anti-codon) for a particular amino acid; and 'wobble' base-pairing, i.e. permitting non-standard base-pairing at the 3rd anti-codon position.
Source: Rfam by way of RNAcentral
GGGAAUGUGGCUUAGUGGUAGAGUGCUUGCCUAGCAUGCAUGAAACUCUGGGUUCGAUUCCUCAGUACCA